RNAcentral lists this ribosomal RNA (1226 nucleotides) under uncultured eukaryote. Its description in RNAcentral is "partial small subunit ribosomal RNA". It matches the Rfam family "Eukaryotic small subunit ribosomal RNA", at positions 58 to 1281 of the family's 1831-position model. The record is from RNAcentral.
CACUAAGUAUAAGCAACCUUAUACUGUGAAACUGCGUACAGCUCAUUAUAUCAGCAAUUAUUUAUUUGAUGGUUGACUAACUACAUGGAUAACCGUGGUAAUUCUAGAGCUAAUACAUGCGUAAAAUCUGUCUCUCACGAGUAUGGAUGUAUUUAUUAGAUAAAGACACUAACACCGGGUCUCUCGGUUUUGUUGAUGAAUCAUAAUAACUGUUCGAAUCGCACGGUCUAGCACUGGCGAUAGUUCAUUCAAAUUUCUGCCCUAUCAGCUUUUGUUUGUAGUGUAGUGGACUACAAAGGCGUUUACGGGUGACGGAGAAUUAGGGUUUGAUUCCGGAGAGGGAGCCUGAGAAACGGCUACCACAUCCAAGGAAGGCAGCAGGCGCGCAAAUUACCCAAUCACGACACAGGGAGGUAGUGACAAUAAAUAACGAUACUGAUUUUUAUCAAAAUUGAUAAUUGGAAUGAGAACAAUUUAAAUACCUUAUCGAUGAUCCACUGGAGGGCAAGUCUGGUGCCAGCAGCCGCGGUAAUUCCAGCUCCAGUAGCGUAUAUUAAUGUUGCUGCAGUUAAAAAGCUCGUAGUUGGAUUUGUGGACGACUUGCGUGGUCCGCCAAACCUAGUUUGUGUGAGUACCGCUGCGUGUCGUCUAUCCUAUCAGAGGUGGUGAGCUCCGGCUCAUCUCAUCUGGUUCUUUUACUUUGAAAAAAUUAGAGUGUUUAAAGCAGGCGUUUCGCAUUGAAUACAUUAGCAUGGAAUAAUAAAAUAGGACUUACAGUUCUAUUUUGUUGGUUUCUAGAACUGAAGUAAUGAUUGAUAGGGACUGUUGGGGGUGCUAGUAUUCGACAGCCAGAGGUGGAAUUCUUGGAUUCGUUGAAGACUAACUUCUGCGAAAGCAUUUGCUAAGGAUGUUUUCAUUAAUCAAGAACGAAAGUCGGGGGAUCGAAGACGAUCAGAUACCGUCGUAGUCUCAACCAUAAACUAUGCCGACUAGGGAUGAGUGAACGUUGAAUUUACGACUUCAUUCGCACCUUAUGAGAAAUCAAAGUCUUUGGGUUCCGGGGGGAGUACGACCGCAAGGUUGAAACUUAAAGGAAUUGACGGAAGGGCACCACCAGGAGUGGAGCCUGCGGCUUAAUUUGACUCAACACGGGAAAACUUACCAGGUCCGGACAUAGUGAGGAUUGACAGAUUUGAAGAUCUUUCCUUGAUUCUAUGGGUGGUGGU